CCUCCUUUCUUGGCAGGGAUUGGUGUGUGGUCCCGGUUGCAUAACGUACAGAGGCAGAGGGAAAGCGCCCUGGGUCCCUUGGCAUCAUGUCUUCGGCACCGCAGCUUCAGGCACCAGGACAAAG
This 124-nucleotide small nucleolar RNA is filed under the name Bos grunniens (domestic yak). RNAcentral describes it as "Small nucleolar RNA SNORA57 (ENSBGRG00000019721.1)". It matches the Rfam family "Small nucleolar RNA SNORA57". Rfam says of the family: U99 belongs to the H/ACA class of snoRNAs which are thought to guide the sites of modification of uridines to pseudouridines, the target for this family is unknown. The record is from Rfam by way of RNAcentral. Lineage: Eukaryota; Metazoa; Chordata; Mammalia; Artiodactyla; Bovidae.